RNAcentral lists this ribosomal RNA (1303 nucleotides) under uncultured Herbaspirillum sp. RNAcentral's name for it is "bacterial SSU rRNA". It matches the Rfam family "Bacterial small subunit ribosomal RNA", at positions 94 to 1399 of the family's 1533-position model. The record is from RNAcentral. Lineage: Bacteria; Pseudomonadati; Pseudomonadota; Betaproteobacteria; Burkholderiales; Oxalobacteraceae.
AGUGGCGAACGGGUGAGUAAUAUAUCGGAACGUGCCCUAGAGUGGGGGAUAACUAGUCGAAAGAUUAGCUAAUACCGCAUACGAUCUACAGAUGAAAGUGGGGGAUCGCAAGACCUCAUGCUCCUGGAGCGGCCGAUAUCUGAUUAGCUAGUUGGUGGGGUAAAAGCCUACCAAGGCAACGAUCAGUAGCUGGUCUGAGAGGACGACCAGCCACACUGGGACUGAGACACGGCCCAGACCCCUACGGGAGGCAGCAGUGGGGAAUUUUGGACAAUGGGGGCAACCCUGAUCCAGCAAUGCCGCGUGAGAGAAGAAGGCCUUCGGGUUGUAAAGCUCUUUUGUCAGGGAAGAAACGGUGGUAGCUAAUAUCUACUACUAAUGACGGUACCUGAAGAAUAAGCACCGGCUAACUACGUGCCAGCAGCCGCGGUAAUACGUAGGGUGCAAGCGUUAAUCGGAAUUACUGGGCGUAAAGCGUGCGCAGGCGGUUGUGUAAGACAGAUGUGAAAUCCCCGGGCUCAACCUGGGAAUUGCAUUUGUGACUGCACGGCUAGAGUGUGUCAGAGGGGGGUAGAAUUCCACGUGUAGCAGUGAAAUGCGUAGAUAUGUGGAGGAAUACCGAUGGCGAAGGCAGCCCCCUGGGAUAACACUGACGCUCAUGCACGAAAGCGUGGGGAGCAAACAGGAUUAGAUACCCUGGUAGUCCACGCCCUAAACGAUGUCUACUAGUUGUCGGGUCUUAAUUGACUUGGUAACGCAGCUAACGCGUGAAGUAGACCGCCUGGGGAGUACGGUCGCAAGAUUAAAACUCAAAGGAAUUGACGGGGACCCGCACAAGCGGUGGAUGAUGUGGAUUAAUUCUAUGCGACGCGAAAAACCUUACCUACCCUUGACAUGGAUGGAAUCCCGAAGAGAUUUGGGAGUGCUCGAAAGAGAACCAUCACACAGGUGCUGCAUGGCUGUCGUCAGCUCGUGUCGUGAGAUGUUGGGUUAAGUCCCGCAACAAGCGCAACCCUUGUCAUUAGUUGCUACGAAAGGGCACUCUAAUGAGACUGCCGGUGACAAACCGGAGGAAGGUGGGGAUGACGUCAAGUCCUCAUGGCCCUUAUGGGUAGGGCUUCACACGUCAUACAAUGGUACAUACAGAGGGCCGCCAACCCGCGAGGGGGAGCUAAUCCCAGAAAGUGUAUCGUAGUCCGGAUUGGAGUCUGCAACUCGACUCCAUGAAGUUGGAAUCGCUAGUAAUCGCGGAUCAGCAUGUCGCGGUGAAUACGUUCCCGGGUCUUGUACACACCGCCCGUCA